Molecule: ribosomal RNA, 284 nt
Filed under: Ixodes ricinus (castor bean tick)
Lineage: Eukaryota; Metazoa; Arthropoda; Arachnida; Ixodida; Ixodidae
Description: partial small subunit ribosomal RNA
Source: RNAcentral
AAAAUAAAAUUUGAUUUUAAAAAAAUUUAAUUUUUAAACUAGGAUUAGAUACCCUAUUAUUUUAAGCUUAAUGUUGAUAGUAAGUAAAAUUUAUGAAAUCAUAAAAUUUUGGCGGUAUUUUAAGCUUGUUAGAGGAAUUUGCUCUAUAAUGGAUACAACGCCUAUAUCUUACUUAAUUUUGUAAUUAAAGUCAGUUUGUAUACCACUAUAUUUAAUUAUAUUGAAUAAUUAUAUUUAAGAUUUUUAUAUAAAUAUAUAUUAAGUCAAGGUGCAACAAAUAAUUA